This 433-nucleotide ribosomal RNA is filed under the name uncultured bacterium. Its description in RNAcentral is "partial 16S ribosomal RNA". It matches the Rfam family "Bacterial small subunit ribosomal RNA", at positions 29 to 507 of the family's 1533-position model. The record is from RNAcentral.
AACGAACGCUGGCGGCAUGCCUAACACAUGCAAGUCGAACGAAGCCUUCGGGCUUGUUGGCCAACGGGUGCGUAACGCGUGGGAAUCUGCCCCUUGCUUCGGAAUACCGGUUAGAAAUGACUGCUAAUACCGGAUGAAGUCUUCGGACCAAAGAUUUAUCGGCAAGGGAUGAGCCCGCGUAGGAUUAGGUAGUUGGUGGGGUAAAGGCCUACCAAGCCGACGAUCCUUAGCUGGUCUGAGAGGAUGAUCAGCCACACUGGGACUGAGACACGGCCCAGACUCCUACGGGAGGCAGCAGUGGGGAAUAUUGGACAAUGGACGCAAGUCUGAUCCAGCAAUGCCGCGUGAGUGAUGAAGGCCUUAGGGUUGUAAAGCUCUUUUACCAGGGAUGAUAAUGACAGUACCUGGAGAAUAAGCUCCGGCUAACUCCGUG